CCAUUUUUUCUCCUUUUCUUCUUCUUCACUUCGUUACAACCAAGAAAUAGAUUUCAUCGUUUUCUCCAUUGCUAAAACAGUUACAGAAAGCAGAGAAAUCAAUCGAAAAAUUCAUUUUUGCCAACUCAAAACCCUAGAUUUUACUUCCAAUUUCAAAUUCUAAAGCUACCCAUAACUCCGGUUCAAUGUAGAAUCAUUUACGUCCCCUGCGAUGAGGUAGAUCGGACGGUAAACAGUCCUUGUAGCAGGUAUGCAGUUAUUUUUUCAGUAAUUUCAAUGAAGGACAGUCUGCAUUGCUUUCUUCAUAUAAAUUUAGCGAGAUUUGAGUGAAAAGUUUUGAUUUUGCGAACAAAAAUGUUGAUUUUAAAAGUACAAAUUCGAGAAGGUGGCUUGUUUCUGAUGGGAUUGUUUAUAUAAACAAAGAGUUUUACUUCUGAGGCUUUAAUUGGAUCAAGGACUGGAUUUACGUCUGACUCAUUAAGGUAUGACAAAAUGGAAGUUUGGGUUAUGUAGUUGGCGGGAUGGAAUAGUAUAAUUACAUUUGAUAUUGUGUUAAAAUGUGUGGGUUUGAGUGACGAAGAUGUGUUUGUUGAUGUUAUACAUGAAGGUCGUAGUGGGUUAUUGGAUUCUACGUUACUUGUUAUGAUAUGGGUAUUUUGAUUUUUGGGUGGCUUUGACAAUUAAGGACAGGAUUCCAGUUGAGCUUAAGUAAGGGCGGAGGGAUUGUUGUCGUGGAAUGCCUUGCUGGGUUUGCGUCUGCGAGGAAACUGAUGUCAUUUGGCUUCGUGAAGUUACUGCGUAGGAGGGACGAAAGGGUGUAGGUGAAAAGUUGUACAAAAAAGGUGGAAGGGGGAAUAAGGUGACAACUGCUGAUUUAGGAGGGAUCUUUAGACAGGUACACUACCAUUUUGGAUUAAAAAAAGUGGAGGUUGUUUAUCUUGGAGAUUUCACGAGAGUAUUUUGUUCUGAAACUAUAAAAAGUUGUUAGUUGGCCCUUAUUGUUAGCUCUAGUCGCAGGAGAAGCUGCCAUACAAGUUUGAGCGAAUGGCCCCUACUGAUGCAGUGAAAAAAGUUUUCCAAGUUUUAGAAGGCAUUAUUAUUAGGUAUAUAUGAACCACAAGGAAUUAACAUCUCCGAGCCCAUCCGUUCAGCUUUGGUUCCUACUCCAAUGUGGGUGCAUCAGGGUAUGACUGACAUUUUAGCAGAAUCUGCCGGAGAAUGAAGACUUCUCUUUGCGCUACCAUACCACCAUUUCUCAUUGGGCUUAGAGAAGCUACAAAGAUGGCUGACGACACUAGUGUUAGAACAUUGCAUUUGAAGGUUGAGAAGAGAAAAACCGAGAUAAGGUGUUAUAAAAUCAAGAGACAUAGCCACUGUCAAGUAAAACAUACUCGGGAUGUCUAAAAACUUUGGCUGAGGCAACGGAACCACUUUAUCUGCUGGGGAUAUUAGAACUAAUGCAGUAGCGAGCUGCUUUAGCUCUACGCCUCUGGCAAGUAAGAAAUUGGCCUUUCUAAAGGGAUCUCACUUCCUCCAGGUUUGAAUAUUCUCGUAAUGACAACAUUGGGUCGUCUAAACCAUUUGGUAGAGGUUAUGGAUACACCCUUCGACCAACACACUUUCGUCCCUCCAAACCAAAUAACAUCAGUUGUCUCAUAGCCACCAACCCAGCAAGACCUUCCCGGACGACAGUCUCUCCGCCCUUUCUUGGCUCAACUGGAAUCUUGUCCUUAAUUGCCAAUGCCACCCCAAAAUCAAUAUAUCCAUAUGAUAACAGGUAGUUGUACGCAGAAUCUAAUAACCCAUUACAGUGUUCAGGUUAUACCAACAAACCUAUCUUCCGUCACCCAAAUCGACACAUUUUCAUGCCAUUUGGUACUAACAUGAUUUCUGAUUAAAAUGUAGUUAUCCUAUUCUAUCCUGCCAACUACAGAAACAACUCUAAUUUCAAUUUCGUCAUUCGCUAAUGACUCAGGCGAAAAUCCAGCCGUUAAUUCAAUUAAAGGCUCUGAAGUUGGCUCUUUGUUUGUAGAAAUUAUCUCAACAGAAACAACUCGCCUUCUUGAAUAUGUACUUUUAACCACCUAAGAGUUGACAUUCGUGUUUGCAAAACUGAAACUUUUCAAUCGGGGUUUGCUAAAUUUAUCUGAAGAAGAUGAAGACAAAAAUGCAGACUGUUCUUCAUUGACAUUACUGGGAAAAUUACUGGAUACUUGGCACAACGACAGUUAGUUUACUGCCUAAUCCACCUUGUCUUCUCUUCAUGCAAAGAGAUAGAAAUGAUUUGGGAUUGAACCUAGAUUAGGGUGAAAUUAUCUUUUUUCACUAGUACUAUGCCAACUUCCGAUUGAGCUGCUAUUUUUGCAAGAAUCGCGGAUGCUGGCUCUCUUAGAGUCAUGAACACUGAUGUCACUGAGAAAAGCAGUACUAGCAGAGUAGUAACGAUGCCCGAUUUAAUCAGAUGUUGAACGUCUUCUUUUGAGACAGACAAGUUAUGCAACGCGUUUAGACACGAUUGCUCAGCUUCUUGGUUCUCCGAGGUGAACAGGUUGACUAGUGGUUCAACGGUUCCAUCUUGUCCCAGGUUUAAACAUUCUGCUCAUCACACUCCAAAACUAGUUGUUGAUCAGGGAGAACUUUCUGCCUUCUUCAUAGCGCGCAACAAUACAAGCAUCCAUUGCAUAACGUCUAUCUUCAGCCAACACCUUUGUGAAUUCACUGUAGGAUUUAUGUUUGGUUGUGUAUACAAAUGAUGAAAGACCAAUAUCUGUUCAUGGGAAUAAAAUACCUUGUUUCAUAUUGGUUGUGUAUACAAAUCAAUUUCUGUUUUAA
Solanum lycopersicum (tomato) is the source of this 2832-nucleotide long non-coding RNA. RefSeq lists it as uncharacterized. The record is from RefSeq and is a predicted model, not a curated record. NCBI's taxonomy places the organism in Eukaryota, Viridiplantae, Streptophyta, Magnoliopsida, Solanales, Solanaceae.